CGAUCAGGGACUCGCCUACAGGCAGUUGGCAGGAAAGCGUCAUCCUGUCACCCUUCACCGCUCCUCCAGGCUCUUCCGUCAGUACAGGAGGACAAGCAAGGUGGACCUGACAUGGUUGGAAGAAGAAAGGGGAAACAUAAGAUGCUAUGACAGAGGGAAAACAUGGGUGUGGAGAAGAUGGGAUGGCAGACAGAUGAGAGGCUGAAAGG
Molecule: long non-coding RNA, 209 nt
Organism: Cyprinodon tularosa
Lineage: Eukaryota; Metazoa; Chordata; Actinopteri; Cyprinodontiformes; Cyprinodontidae
Exons: 3
Source: RefSeq, a predicted model, not a curated record